UCUCCUGUAGCUCAGUGGUAGAGCGUCCAACUGGUGUAUAGAGGGUCAUAGGUCGUCAUAGGUUCGACUCCUGUUGGGAAAC
Molecule: non-coding RNA, 82 nt
Organism: Desmophyllum pertusum
Lineage: Eukaryota; Metazoa; Cnidaria; Anthozoa; Scleractinia; Caryophylliidae
Source: the annotation of a GenBank genome assembly